Molecule: long non-coding RNA, 276 nt
Filed under: Lathyrus oleraceus (garden pea)
Lineage: Eukaryota; Viridiplantae; Streptophyta; Magnoliopsida; Fabales; Fabaceae
Description: Pisum sativum (pea) long non-coding RNA (PSAT_LNC003068)
Source: RNAcentral
UGAUUUCAAGAAGUGAACCUUCUAAGAAGUUUUACUAUCCAUCCUUCAUCCAUUCCUCAUUCAUUACGUCUUAGAAUCUUUUCACACUUUAUCUUUCAAACUUGACAUAAGUGUUGUGCAAACAUUUUCAUGUUUUUCUAACUAAAAACCUGGACUCAAGUCCUUGACUUUUUUUCAAACUCCAUUUCAUAAUACUUAUUUGAAUUAAUCUUAAUCAUACUUUGACUUCUAUUUUCAUAAUCAUAAUCAGUAACUCCACCCAUUCACUUGUUUUGG